AGGAUUGAACCUCUGAUCACCAUGGAUGCUCUAGAAGAAGAGCAAUGCUCCGACAUACUAUCUUUAGAACAUGAAAUAGCCCCCUCUACUCACUCUUUACUAUUAAUGCAUCAAGUUCAAUACAUCUGAAUAUUACUCUCAUCAGAUUGCAAUUUGGGAGCACUUGAUUGAUAGAACCAUGGACCACAACCCCUUGGACUGUUC
RNAcentral lists this long non-coding RNA (204 nucleotides) under Vitis vinifera (wine grape). RNAcentral describes it as "long non-coding RNA (VVIN_LNC005023)". Lineage: Eukaryota; Viridiplantae; Streptophyta; Magnoliopsida; Vitales; Vitaceae. The record is from RNAcentral.